UUUCCGUAGGUGAACCUGCGGAAGGAUCAUUAUUGAGUGGGGUUGUGGUUGGGUGGUGAUUGUGGGUGGGAGAGAGGGGGUGUGGUUGUGGUGGGGGGAUUGGUGGAGUUGGAUGGAUUGGUGAUGUUGUCGGUGUUGGAUUGACUGGUUGCGCCACAUGUCAGUGUGUCAAGAUCAGCUAGUCUAGUCUGCAUCAGCCAGUCUGACACACCUCCAAGUCACCCUGAAAGACCGCACUCGCUCUCGCAACUGCUCACUCACCACCACCAUAUAUAUAAGCACAGUUUGAGAGUAUGGCCGAGUGAGAGGAAGGAUAAUGAUAUGACAACUUUUAACAAUGGAUCUCUUGGCUCUU
This 355-nucleotide unclassified non-coding RNA is filed under the name plant metagenome. RNAcentral describes it as "partial contains small subunit ribosomal RNA, internal transcribed spacer 1, and 5.8S ribosomal RNA". The record is from RNAcentral.